This is a long non-coding RNA of Canis lupus familiaris (dog), 509 nucleotides long. RefSeq lists it as uncharacterized. Lineage: Eukaryota; Metazoa; Chordata; Mammalia; Carnivora; Canidae. The transcript is spliced from 3 exons. The record is from RefSeq and is a predicted model, not a curated record.
CUUGGCUCCCUCCACCCACCUUGUCUACUGAUGACCCUGCUCUGUAUUGUGGGAUGUGCAUCAUUUGGAGGAUGUGAGGCGUUAAACUUGGAAGAUAUUUUAAAAGAGGAUGCAAUGUGGAAAUGCACCACAGAGAUGGGGUUUUGUGAUUCUGGACCAAAAGAUCAAAACGGAUUCCUGCUUCCAAGGAGCCUGGGCGCUGGAGCUCCUCUCAUGAGUUUGCAGAAGAAAGUCACUGCAAUUCACUCCUGUGGGUCUACCAUUUGGGGAGGAAGUAUGAAGACUUAGGCCAACGCUAAAUACUGUGGUUGUACAGUUCCACGCCCCUCGGUUCCCCAAAGCCCACAUCAUAGCUGGCGCGAGUCAGAGCCGAAUCCCCCACAUUCCACUAUGCCAGGAAUAGGAGAGGGUCUGCCAGAGGGACACUCAUGCUGCAGAGAUGGAUAUCAUAACCGACAAGUGUUACCUUCCCAGGAGCAGAGGCUGACAAGAGAUAGGUGGGAGCGAAG